RNAcentral lists this long non-coding RNA (260 nucleotides) under Homo sapiens (human). Its description in RNAcentral is "HSALNT0324426". The record is from RNAcentral. Lineage: Eukaryota; Metazoa; Chordata; Mammalia; Primates; Hominidae.
AUCUUUGAGCCAUGAUAAUGUUACUGGUUGGAUGUCAGGAGCAGGCCAUGUGGAUGAUUAAAAGAUGAAUAUCAUAUACAGCAUGGAUAUGUUGGACAAAAAGAUGAUUCACAUCCCAGACAGAAUGGAGCAGCACAUUUAUUAAAAGCCAGAAGCUAGAAGACGAGGAAAGAAGAGGUGGUUAAAGAAAGAUACAGUAACAGCAGUAAUAUCUAACAGGAAGGCUACAGGGGAAAAUACAGAAAUUCCAUAAAGAACAA